UCCCUGGAGGACUGGUGGUUAGGCCACAGAGCUCUCACCGCUAUGGACCAGGUUCAAUUCCCAGCCAGGGAA
This 72-nucleotide transfer RNA is filed under the name Pangasianodon hypophthalmus (striped catfish). Its description in RNAcentral is "tRNA-Glu". The record is from RNAcentral. Lineage: Eukaryota; Metazoa; Chordata; Actinopteri; Siluriformes; Pangasiidae.